UGGAAGAAGCCAGGCGCCUUG
This 21-nucleotide unclassified non-coding RNA is filed under the name Mus musculus (house mouse). RNAcentral's name for it is "oocyte_clustered_small_RNA5096". Lineage: Eukaryota; Metazoa; Chordata; Mammalia; Rodentia; Muridae. The record is from RNAcentral.